UGAAAAAUAAAUUAAACAAAAUUAUAAAACUUCAAAUUUUACAAUACUAGUAAAACCUGGUUUUUUUCAG
RNAcentral lists this transfer RNA (70 nucleotides) under Rossellidae sp. DVL-2014. RNAcentral describes it as "tRNA-Trp". Lineage: Eukaryota; Metazoa; Porifera; Hexactinellida; Lyssacinosida; Rossellidae. The record is from RNAcentral.